RNAcentral lists this ribosomal RNA (253 nucleotides) under uncultured bacterium. RNAcentral's name for it is "partial 16S ribosomal RNA". It matches the Rfam family "Bacterial small subunit ribosomal RNA", at positions 524 to 776 of the family's 1533-position model. The record is from RNAcentral.
UACGGAGGGGGCUAGCGUUGUUCGGAAUCACUGGGCGUAAAGGGUGCGUAGGCGGGUUAUUAAGUCAGAGGUGAAAUCCUGGAGCUCAACUCCAGAACUGCCUUUGAUACUGAUAGUCUUGAGUAUGGGAGAGGUGAGUGGAACUGCGAGUGUAGAGGUGAAAUUCGUAGAUAUUCGCAAGAACACCAGUGGCGAAGGCGGCUCACUGGCCCAUUACUGACGCUGAGGCGCGAAAGCGUGGGGAGCAAACAGG